GAUGAACGCUGGCGGCGUGCCUAAUACAUGCAAGUCGAGCGAACAGACGAGGAGCUUGCUCCUCUGACGUUAGCGGCGGACGGGUGAGUAACACGUGGAUAACCUACCUAUAAGACUGGGAUAACUUCGGGAAACCGGAGCUAAUACCGGAUAAUAUAUUGAACCGCAUGGUUCGAUAGUGAAAGACGGUUUUGCUGUCACUUAUAGAUGGAUCCGCGCCGCAUUAGCUAGUUGGUAAGGUAACGGCUUACCAAGGCAACGAUGCGUAGCCGACCUGAGAGGGGGAUCGGCCACACUGGAACUGAGACACGGUCCAGACUCCUACGGGAGGCAGCAGUAGGGAAUCUUCCGCAAAGGGCGAAAGCCUGACGGAGCAACGCCGCGUGAGUGAUGAAGGUCUUCGGAUCGUAAAACUCUGUUAUUAGGGAAGAACAAAUGUGUAAGUAACUAUGCACGUCUUGACGGUACCUAAUCAGAAAGCCACGGCUAACUACGUG
Molecule: ribosomal RNA, 497 nt
Filed under: uncultured bacterium
Lineage: Bacteria
Description: partial 16S ribosomal RNA
Rfam family: Bacterial small subunit ribosomal RNA
Source: RNAcentral